Long non-coding RNA from Leopardus geoffroyi (Geoffroy's cat), 917 nucleotides. RefSeq lists it as uncharacterized. The transcript is spliced from 3 exons. The record is from RefSeq and is a predicted model, not a curated record. Lineage: Eukaryota; Metazoa; Chordata; Mammalia; Carnivora; Felidae.
CAUCUUGGAAGAGGGCAAAGACACUCCUGGCACCCCCCCGCCCGUCACCUCCCUUCAGACGCCAGCGCCAUCUUUGAUCACCGUAAUCACCGCCUCUUUUUGCGCUCCCGGUUAUAACCUCUGGAGCCAUUUUGGGUUAGGUCAGUGUCGCCUAUGGCCUCCCUUGCCAAGCCCGCAGUUUCUGCCAUCUGGAUGCUUCCUCGUCCCUAUUCUCUCACCUAUAACCUCUGCCUCCAUGGUGGAUCAAGAAAAUGAUGCUUUCUUUCUCCCUUCUCAUCUUGCUUCUUCCAGUGGCUCUAGCGUCACCGCUAUGCACGUGAUCUAAUAACCUGCCAUUUUGGGUCAGGGUAAUACAGACUAAUAUUGCUUCCCAUCAACCCCAGGGACCAGUAGAGAAGAGCCUUUAUGGCGAGUGCGCUCUGCUCUUUCCCCAGAAGCCAGCUUGAAGGUUCAGUCUCUGAAGGUUUCUGCCCUGGCUUUUAAAUUUCAAGUUACUGGUACAGUGAAAGUCAACGAGAAGUGUGCCUUUUUUACUAUCUGACUGAAGUCGCACGUGUCGCCAAGGAUCCAGUGUCAUUUGUGAGGGUCUGGAAGAUUCAAGUGCAUCUUCCCACCCAAGCCAUGUGUGCUCACCUGUCGACAAGGCGGGACCACAACGAGAUGAAGAAACUGAGGCACGAGAUACAGCUCCAAUAAGAAGUCCAGCUGGAAUUGACUUCACUUGGCUGAUUAACCAGGAUCCAUCAGGGUAGUCUACAGCUGGUGACAUGGCAAGAAAGAGGAGGCUGCAGAGACUGAACAAACAGCAUGCACUGUGGUAUCCUUUAUUUAAAAAUUGUGAGCUAACUACAGUUGUAGUGUUCUCAUUUACCAUUCUGAUGGCAUAAUAAACUGCGAGAACAUUAACACAAUUUCAA